UAGGGAUAGCGAUAGUGAUAGUAAUGGUGAUGGCAAUGGUGAUGAUAAUCCUUUUUAUAUCCAAUGGAGAUGAGGAAGAUGAUGGUUGACAAGAAUUCAGACUGAGAAAAAGGAGCUAACUCCAUAUCUAAGGUUUUUGCAAAGAAAAAGGUAAGUUUUGAGGGGUCUGUUUUUUUUUCCCUGCGCAAUUGAGUGCACACUUUGUUAUAUAUCUGUCAGAUAGAAAGGAUGAGAUAGUGAACACAAUCAAAGAGGUAGUAACCAAGAUACAUUAUGAUGCUGAAUAUCCUGGACAAAAACUCAGAGCCUGCAACUUGUACAUUUCUUCUAUAGGCCUGAAUGCACUGUUACUUCUAGUGACGAGAACUUGGGGCCGUAUUUUUUUUUUUGGUUUUGCUUAUCUGUUGCAAUUUGAACAUGGAUCAUAGACAGCCAUUUCUUCAGUUACAUGUACAGCAGUAUCUUUUUUUUCUCCCCUAGGCCUUCUUAUAAUGUGCAUUAUAGUGAAUAUCCAGCUUUACUCUUCAAAUACAUCUGAUGUACACUAAAACCUUUA
Long non-coding RNA from Dioscorea cayenensis subsp. rotundata (Guinea yam), 556 nucleotides. RefSeq lists it as uncharacterized. The record is from RefSeq and is a predicted model, not a curated record. NCBI's taxonomy places the organism in Eukaryota, Viridiplantae, Streptophyta, Magnoliopsida, Dioscoreales, Dioscoreaceae. The transcript has 3 exons.